CCCUUAGGGGCAUGUGCACGCUUCAUUAGUCCCCUUUCACACCCCUGUGCACCUUUGAUAGAUUCGCUGGAAAGACGGUCGCCUCACGGUGACUUGAACUCCGGUGGGUCUAUAACCAUUACACACACAAACGUAUGUCUACGAAUGUCAUUUAUAUGGGCCAUGCUGCCUAUAAAAACCUAAUACAACUUUCAACAACGGAUCUCUUGGCUCUCGCAUCGAUGAAGAACGCAGCGAAAUGCGAUAAGUAAUGUGAAUUGCAGAAUUCAGUGAAUCAUCGAAUCUUUGAACGCACCUUGCGCCCCUUGGUAUUCCGAGGGGCAUGCCUGUUUGAGUGUCAUUAAAUUCUCAAACCUACCUUUUGCUUUGCUGUAAAUCGUAGUGUUUGGAUUGUUGGGGGUUGCUGGCUUGUCACCGAGUCGGCUCCUCUUAAAUGCAUUAGCGGGACUUUGUUGUUGCCUCUGCUACAUGGUGUGAUAAUUAUCUACGCCAGACCGUACGCAAUGAUAGAGGGGGAGUCCAGCUCUCUAAUGGUCUUCUGACAG
RNAcentral lists this ribosomal RNA (545 nucleotides) under Pleurotus cornucopiae (cornucopia mushroom). RNAcentral's name for it is "eukaryotic LSU rRNA". The stretch from base 187 to 340 matches the Rfam family "5.8S ribosomal RNA". Lineage: Eukaryota; Fungi; Basidiomycota; Agaricomycetes; Agaricales; Pleurotaceae. The record is from RNAcentral.